RNAcentral lists this ribosomal RNA (492 nucleotides) under uncultured bacterium. RNAcentral's name for it is "partial 16S ribosomal RNA". It matches the Rfam family "Bacterial small subunit ribosomal RNA", at positions 29 to 507 of the family's 1533-position model. The record is from RNAcentral.
UGUGAACGCUGGCGGUAGGCCUAACACAUGCAAGUCGAACGGCAGCACAGUAAGAGCUUGCUCUUACGGGUGGCGAGUGGCGGACGGGUGAGGAAUACAUCGGAAUCUACUUUUUCGUGGGGGAUAACGUAGGGAAACUUACGCUAAUAACGCAUACGACCUACGGGUGAAAGCAGGGGAUCUUCGGACCUUGCGCGAUUGAAUGAGCCGAUGUCGGAUUAGCUAGUUGGCGGGGUAAAGGCCCACCAAGGCGACGAUCCGUAGCUGGUCUGAGAGGAUGAUCAGCCACACUGGAACUGAGACACGGUCCAGACUCCUACGGGAGGCAGCAGUGGGGAAUAUUGGACAAUGGGCGCAAGCCUGAUCCAGCCAUACCGCGUGGGUGAAGAAGGCCUUCGGGUUGUAAAGCCCUUUUGUUGGGAAAGAAAAGCAGCAGGUUAAUACCCCGCUGUUCUGACGGUACCCAAAGAAUAAGCACCGGCUAACUUCGUG